AUUGAACGCUGGCGGCAUGCUUUACACAUGCAAGUCGAACGGCAGCACGGGCUUCGGCCUGGUGGCGAGUGGCGAACGGGUGAGUAAUGCAUCGGAACGUACCGUGUAAUGGGGGAUAACGUAGCGAAAGUUACGCUAAUACCGCAUACGCCCUGAGGGGGAAAGCGGGGGAUCGUAAGACCUCGCGUUAUACGAGCGGCCGAUGUCGGAUUAGCUAGUUGGUGGGGUAAAGGCCUACCAAGGCGACGAUCCGUAGCGGGUCUGAGAGGAUGAUCCGCCACACUGGGACUGAGACACGGCCCAGACUCCUACGGGAGGCAGCAGUGGGGAAUUUUGGACAAUGGGCGCAAGCCUGAUCCAGCCAUGCCGCGUGAGUGAAGAAGGCCUCGG
Molecule: ribosomal RNA, 390 nt
Filed under: uncultured bacterium
Lineage: Bacteria
Description: bacterial SSU rRNA
Rfam family: Bacterial small subunit ribosomal RNA
Source: RNAcentral